UGCCUUUUUGUGGGGGAUAACUGAGGGAAACUUCAGCUAAUACCGCAUAAGCUCUACGGAGGAAAAGCUUUUAGCUUUUCCAGUGCUCAGUAUUCAGUGUUCAGUAUUCAGAAAGAUUUUGGAAGGGAGUCACAUUGCUUCCCCAUAAAGGUCUUUCUGAAUACUGGACACUGAGCACUGAACACUGGAGCAGCGAAGCUGCGAAAAGAGGAGCCCGCGUCAGAUUAGGUAGUUGGUGGGGUAAAAGCCUACCAAGCCAAUGAUCUGUAGCUGUUGUGAGAGGAUGAUCAGCCACACUGGGACUGAGACACGGCCCAGACUCCUACGGGAGGCAGCAGUGGGGAAUACUGUUCAAUGGGGGAAACCCUGAUCCAGCAAUGCCGCGUGA
This 388-nucleotide ribosomal RNA is filed under the name uncultured organism. Its description in RNAcentral is "bacterial SSU rRNA". It matches the Rfam family "Bacterial small subunit ribosomal RNA", at positions 127 to 404 of the family's 1533-position model. The record is from RNAcentral.